CAAAGGGGGCGACCCCGGUCAUGGAUGGGCAUGCGGCGCAUUAGGUAGUUGGUGGGGCAACGGCCCACCAAGCCGACGAUGCGUAGGGGUUCUGAGAGGAAGGUCCCCCACAUUGGAACUGAGACACGGUCCAAACUCCUACGGGAGGCAGCAGUGAGGAAUAUUGGUCAAUGGCCGGAAGGCUGAACCAGCCAAGUCGCGUGAGGGAAUAAGGCCCUACGGGUCGUAAACCUCUUUUGCCAGGGAGCAAUGCCGUCCACGUGUGGACGGAAGGAGAGUACCUGGAGAAAAAGCAUCGGCUAACUCCGUGCCAGCAGCCGCGGUAAUACGGAGGAUGCGAGCGUUAUCCGGAUUUAUUGGGUUUAAAGGGUGCGUAGGCGGCCUGCCAAGUCAGCGGUAAAAUUGCGGGGCUCAACCCCGUACAGCCGUUGAAACUGCCGGGCUCGAGUGGGCGAGAAGUAUGCGGAAUGCGUGGUGUAGCGGUGAAAUGCAUAGAUAUCACGCAGAACCCCGAUUGCGAAGGCAGCAUACCGGCGCCCGACUGACGCUGAGGCACGAAAGUGCGGGGAUCAAACAGGAUUAGAUACCCUGGUAGUCCGCACAGUAAACGAUGAAUGCUAGCUGUCCGGGGGGAUUGACCCCUGG
RNAcentral lists this ribosomal RNA (645 nucleotides) under uncultured bacterium. RNAcentral describes it as "bacterial SSU rRNA". It matches the Rfam family "Bacterial small subunit ribosomal RNA", at positions 201 to 842 of the family's 1533-position model. The record is from RNAcentral.